AGGGUGCAGGGCGGAUGCCUUGGCACUAGGAGCCGAUGAAGGACGUGAUAAGCUGCGAUAAGCUUCGGGGAGUUGCACGUAAACUUUGAUCCGAAGAUUUCCGAAUGAGGAAACUCACUUAGAGUAAUGUCUAAGUAUCAUUAAGUGAAUACAUAGCUUAAUGAGGGGAACUCAGGGAACUGAAACAUCUAAGUACCUGAAGGAAGAGAAAGAAAUUCGAUUCCGUAAGUAGCGGCGAGCGAACGCGGAUUAGCCCAAACCAAUAAAGUUUUCUUUAUUGGGGUUGCGGACAUAUCAUAACGAAGAGGUAUCGUAAUUGAAGAGGUUUGGAAAGACCCACCACAGAAGGUAAUAGUCCUGUAUGUUAAACGAGAAGACUUUAGAUAUGAUCCAGAGUACCACGGGACACGUGAAACCCUGUGGGAAGCAGGAGGGACCACCCUCCAAGGCUAAAUACUACCUAGUGACCGAUAGCGUAUAGUACCGUGAGGGAAAGGUGAAAAGAACCCCGGGAGGGGAGUGAAAUAGAACCUGAAACCCUGCACUUACAAGCUGUGGAAGCACAUUUCUUGUGUGACCGCGUACUUUUUGUAGAACGGGCCAACGAGUUACGUUAAGUAGCAAGGUUAAGCACUUAAGGUGUGGAGCCGUAGCGAAAGCGAGUUUUAACUGAGCGUUCAGUUACUUGACGUAGACCCGAAACCGGGCGACCUACCCAUGAGCAGGAUGAAGCGAAAGUAAAAUUUCGUGGAGGUCCGAACCCACGAGCGUUGAAAAGCUCGGGGAUGACUUGUGGGUAGCGGUGAAAUUCCAAUCGAGCCCGGAGAUAGCUGGUUCUCCCCGAAAUAGCUUUAGGGCUAGCCUCAAGGUGAGAGAUACGGAGGUAGAGCACUGAAUGUCCUAGGGGGUAUUGCACCUACCGAAGACUAUCAAACUCCGAAUGCCGUCAUCUUAUACUUGGGAGUCAGACUGUGGGUGAUAAGAUUCAUAGUCGAAAGGGCAACAGCCCAGAUCGUCAGCUAAGGUCCCUAAAUGUAAGUUAAGUGGUAAAGGAUGUGGGAUUGCACAGACAACCAGGAUGUUGGCUUAGAAGCAGCCACUCAUUCAAAGAGUGCGUAAUAGCUCACUGGUCGAGUGAUCCUGCGCCGAAGAUUUCCGGGGCUAAAACUUACUACCGAAGCUACGGCAUCAGUAAUGAUGGGUAGGGGAGCUUCCCAUACGGGUUGAAGCAUGACCGUAAGGACAUGUGGACAGUAUGGGAGUGAGAAUGUUGGCAUGAGUAGCGAGAUGUGGGUGAGAAUCCCACAGGCCGUAAACCCAAGGUUUCCAGGGGAAGGUUCGUCCGCCCUGGGUUAGUCGGGACCUAAGCUGAGGCCGAAAGGCGUAGGUGAUGGACAACAGGUUGAUAUUCCUGUACUACCGAUAACCGUUUGAGAGAAGGGAUGACACAGUAGGAUAAGCUAAGCACACUGUUGGUUAUGUGUGCCCAAGCAUUGAGGCAGUCAAAGUAGGCAAAUCCGCUUUGAUAAUGCUGGGAUGUGAUGGGGAGCGAAAUUUAGUAGCGAAGUAGCUGAUUUCACACUGUCAAGAAAAGUCUCUAUCGAGGUUAAAGGUACCCGUACCGCAAACCGACACAGGUGGGUGAGGAGAGUAUCCUAAGGCCAGCGAGAGAACUGUUGUUAAGGAACUCGGCAAAAUGACCCCGUAACUUAGGGAUAAGGGGUGCCACCAUCAGGUGGCCGCAGAGAAUAGGCCCAAGCGACUGUUUACCAAAAACAUAGGUUUCUGCUAAGUCGCAAGACGAUGUAUAGGAGCUGACGCCUGCCCGGUGCUGGAAGGUUAAGGGGAGCUGUUAGAGCAAUCGAAGCAGUGAACUUAAGCCCCAGUAAACGGCGGCCGUAACUAUAACGGUCCUAAGGUAGCGAAAUUCCUUGUCGGGUAAGUUCCGACCCGCACGAAAGGCGUAACGAUUUGGGCACUGUCUCAACAACAGACUCGGUGAAAUUGUAAUUCCGGUGAAGAUGCCGGAUACCUGCGACAGGACGGAAAGACCCCAUGGAGCUUUACUGUAGCUUGACAUUGGGUCUUGGUACUACAUGUACAGGAUAGGUGGGAGGCUUUGAAACCAGGACGCCAGUUUUGGCGGAGCCAUCCUUGGGAUACCACCCUUGUAGUACUGGGACUCUAACCAUAGGCCAUGAAUCUGGUCUUGGGACACUGUCA
RNAcentral lists this ribosomal RNA (2223 nucleotides) under Clostridioides difficile. RNAcentral's name for it is "bacterial LSU rRNA". It matches the Rfam family "Bacterial large subunit ribosomal RNA", at positions 14 to 2259 of the family's 2925-position model. The record is from RNAcentral. Lineage: Bacteria; Bacillati; Bacillota; Clostridia; Peptostreptococcales; Peptostreptococcaceae.